RNAcentral lists this ribosomal RNA (877 nucleotides) under uncultured eukaryote. RNAcentral describes it as "SSU rRNA". It matches the Rfam family "Eukaryotic small subunit ribosomal RNA", at positions 636 to 1469 of the family's 1831-position model. The record is from RNAcentral.
CGGUGUUCAACUGGCGUGUCCGCGGGACGUCCUGCCGGUGGGCUUAGCCCGCAAGGGCGGCCCAACUUCAAAUCCCAUCGCGGUGCUCUUCACUGAGUGUCGAGGUGGGCCGGCACGUUUACUUUGAACAAAUUAGAGUGCUUAAAGCAGGCUAAAACUUCGCCUGAAUACUGUGUGCAUGGAAUAAUGGAAUAGGACCUCGGUUCUAUUUUGUUGGUUUUCGGAACCCCGAGGUAAUGAUUAAUAGGAACGGAUGGGGGCAUUCGUAUUGCGACGUUAGAGGUGAAAUUCUUGGAUCGUCGCAAGACGGACAGAAGCGAAAGCAUUUGCCAAAAACGCUUUCAUUGAUCAAGAACGAAAGUUAGAGGUUCGAAGGCGAUCAGAUACCGCCCUAGUUCUAACCAUAAACGAUGCCAGCUAGCGAUCCGUCGACGUUCCUCCGAUGACUCGACGGGCAGCUUCCGGGAAACCAAAGCUUUUGGGUUCCGGGGGAAGUAUGGUUGCAAAGCUGAAACUUAAAGGAAUUGACGGAAGGGCACCACCGGGAGUGGAGCCUGCGGCUUAAUUUGACUCAACACGGGAAACCUCACCAGGCCCGGACACCGGAAGGAUUGACAGAUUGAGAGCUCUUUCUUGAUUCGGUGGGUGGUGGUGCAUGGCCGUUCUUAGUUGGUGGAGCGAUUUGUCUGGUUAAUUCCGAUAACGAACGGGACUCUAGCCUGCUAACUAGGCGUAUUUUCGACAUCUCAAAGGUCCGUCGUCCCGGCCCUCGGGUCGUGGGCGUGCGCGAUUUUUACUGUCGGCGUACUAUCAAUUCUUCUUAGAGGGACAGGUGGCUUCUAGCCGCACGAGAUUGAGCAAUAACAGGUCUGUGAUG